CGCGCAUCUCGGCCUUUUGGCUAAGAUCAAAGUGUAGUAUCUGUUCUUAUCAGCACCGCGCAGGGUUGCCAGGUUUGGCCUUUAAAGGCCAAAUGGGCCUUUUUGAGAGAAGGUUGGCCUCGGUUUUAUUUCCUGUUGAGGCCAACCUCAGUCUGGCCUUUUCGGGGCCUUUUUUGAGAUGCACGU
This is a small nuclear RNA of Eriocheir sinensis (Chinese mitten crab), 186 nucleotides long. RefSeq annotates it as U2 spliceosomal RNA. The transcript has a single exon. The record is from RefSeq and is a predicted model, not a curated record. NCBI's taxonomy places the organism in Eukaryota, Metazoa, Arthropoda, Malacostraca, Decapoda, Varunidae.